Hemicordylus capensis (graceful crag lizard) is the source of this 724-nucleotide long non-coding RNA. RefSeq lists it as uncharacterized. The transcript has 3 exons. Lineage: Eukaryota; Metazoa; Chordata; Lepidosauria; Squamata; Cordylidae. The record is from RefSeq and is a predicted model, not a curated record.
GAGAGCCUGCAGGGGGGUUGCGGGGAGAGCAGGCUUGACCCACUCUCCCUGCACAUGAGCAGUCAGCUUGCCCUCGGUGGCCAUAUUGGCUGCCCACAUGAUUACCGGCUCCGUCACUGAGCUGGUAAUCAUGUGGGGCAGCAGGGAUCAGGGGGCUCCUGGCCCCCAGGUGUCCCAGAAUGCCCCAUGCAAGUGCAUUCUUCUCAUUAGAUUUCAGCAGGAGUCACAUCCUCCUGACCUCAAAAAUGUGUGUGGCAGAAAAUUCAAGCACCUGCAGGAAUAGAGGAUGGCUGUCUAUUGUUAGCAGGCUUUAUCCUGACAUUGGUCUGUUAUUAAUUGAAAGUACAGUGGAGAGGAAUGCAGCAGUCCUGAGGGGAAAAGGAAUUUGACAGAGGAAAAGACAAGUCUUAUUUUAAGAUCAUGUUUUGUUUUCCAUCCAGAAUUGCUGUGGGUUUUCAUUAUCUUUGCAGGUGGCAACAUACCAGCUGCUAUUUAAGCUGUUUAUGUUGACACAUACAUCAGCUUACAUAGUGAGCUACAGAGACUCCAAUCAAAUCUGUGCUGAAGGAUAUGAAACCUAGAAUGUCAGGUGACAACCAGUAAUCUGCUGGGAUCUUUACACGUUAAAAAGAAGCAGCACAGCCUGACACAAUUAGAAGAGCUGUUUUCUUCUUAAGCAUCUGCAUCCCUUUAGUCAAUAAUAUGCUCUCCCUGGACUACUAAG